Phacochoerus africanus (Common warthog) is the source of this 1245-nucleotide long non-coding RNA. RefSeq lists it as uncharacterized. NCBI's taxonomy places the organism in Eukaryota, Metazoa, Chordata, Mammalia, Artiodactyla, Suidae. The record is from RefSeq and is a predicted model, not a curated record. The transcript is spliced from 5 exons.
CAGAGUACCCUUCCGGCUGUGUUCUGCCCAGGCCGAGUCUUGGGUGGCGGCUGGCUGGGAGGGUGCCCCCGCCUGUGGGCGCCAGUGAGCUGCUGCAGGUUCCUCCUGGGCGUCCAGUCCAGGAAAAAAAAAUCGAGACGAACCGAAGAAGAUGAGUCUUUCCCCGAAGGAGAUAGAAGAUGGGAAAGAUGAAAUGUUAGAAGAUCGAAAUGCCAAAACCCUUUGAUCAAGGACAGGCCUGACACAGUCACUCAGCGUGAAUUAAUAGACGUGUUUGAAGAUGUUUCGCAAAUCAGAUUGCUGCAGGAUCGCCUGUGUUGACGGCACGUCACCAGCUGAUGCAGAGAGAGCCUUGGAAGAGAAGCCAGGAAUGGGGAUCGGUGGGCUCGCCAUGGUUCUGGACCCCUUCUGCCAAGCUAAUGAGCGUUGUCCUGGUUGACCGUAACCUUGAUGUCUGCGAAAGGCGUGGCACCUUGGGAGACAGCCUGUAGAUCCCCCACCCCCACCCCCACCCCCUGCCCCGCUGGGGUAGCCUCUAGGAUUCUGUUUGAACAAGCCCUUUAACCUGUGGUUUCAGAAUUAGAUAUUUAAUGCCCUUCAAACAUUUAAUUCUCUUCACGUAGAUGGGUUUUUUUUUUGUUUUCUUUUUCUUUUUCCUCUCACAGGGCGUGCGGAAGUUCUAGGCCAGGGAUCAAACCCAUGCCACAGCAGUAACCCAAGCCACAGCAGUGACAAUGCUGGGUCCUUAACUGCUGGGCCACCCGGGAACUCCUCAAAUAGAAUUUUUAAAAAGCUUAACACCAGAGAACCCCAAACCAGUGCCCCUAAUCUGCAUAACUUGAUUGGUAGACAUGGUGGCGUAUACAGUAUUUAGAGGAAAAAAAAAACCCAGUAGAAUUUACUAUGAGUAUUUUUUACAGUCAAAGGAUUUUACAUAAAAAUCUGGAUUUCUAGCUUUUGCUACAUCCAAAAAUGGGGUGGCCUUAGGGCCACAUCCCUACGUGUCUGCAGCCAUCUGGAGAGAGGCAGCUGCUUCCUCUUGGCUGUGGCAUUUGCUCUGCUGGCUACAAGCCCCACCAUUCUUCUGGAAGUCUUCCCCACCUCUGAAGGAGCGAACAUCAUGCUGACACUUUGAAAAAAAUAGUUAAUUCUUUUUUCUUACAAAGCAUUACUUUUUUCUUAUUGGUAAAGAUGACGUUUUAUUUUUAUUUUUUAUUUUUUGUCUUUUCUCUUUUUAGGGCUGCG